Molecule: small nucleolar RNA, 131 nt
Organism: Amphilophus citrinellus (Midas cichlid)
Lineage: Eukaryota; Metazoa; Chordata; Actinopteri; Cichliformes; Cichlidae
Source: Ensembl
CAGCAUGCUAUCCUAAGGACCGGCGCUUGUUUGUAGCUCCAGGUUCUCCAAGUGCAUGCAAGAAAACAGGGUGGUCUUUGACUGCUGUGGCCUCUCUCUGCCAUCAGCAGCCACUCAGCUGUCCUACAGAC